Molecule: long non-coding RNA, 741 nt
Organism: Pseudopipra pipra
Lineage: Eukaryota; Metazoa; Chordata; Aves; Passeriformes; Pipridae
Exons: 2
Source: RefSeq, a predicted model, not a curated record
AGAGCCAGCAGCUCUUUGGGGGACACAGAGGGAGCACCUCUGCUAGGCAAGUGUCCUGUUAAUGCUUUUGAAGAGGCAGCUCUCCUUGCAGCUGAUUGAUCCCUGCAAGCCCAAAGUGACAUCCAUGAAGGAAGAUUCUCAGUCAGAGUGGAUCACCAUCUGACUAAUUCAGUUUAUUCCGUACAGGGCCUGGGCAGCUGCAAGUCCAUUUGAGGUUGAUUUCAACCAGUUGUUUCUUUGAGGGAUGUGUUAAAACAACACAAAGAGACAAUUCACACACACACAGGAUGGACAGAGCCCAGUGUGAUUCAAGAGUCUAAGGAAAUUUUCAAUCAUAUUGAGAGAGAGAGGAAACUAGAAAAUGGAAUGGGAUUGCACUGCAAGGCUGUGACCUGUCUGUGCCCAGAGCUCUGCCUUAAAUUGGAAGAAAAGUGCCAAUUAAUCUGACACUGAGGAAGGCAUAGGCAAUGAAACUAUUUCAUGUCUGCUCAUUUCCCCCCAUGGCAUGUAGUCCUCUCCACCUUACUAAUUGGAGAAAACUUGCUAACAGCUCUCUGAUGUGGGUUUAAUUAAAUACCUUUUGAAUGCCUCUGAGCGGUGGGAGAAGCUGGUGGAGUCAUUCCAAGUCUGACACACUCAGGAAGGGCUUCAAAUCUGGGGCUCCUUGCUUCAUCAACAAAAAAACAAAGAGGCUGUGGGAGCAGUGGAGGAUCUUUAAUAAAAACUGAGCUGGAAACUAAA